CUCCCCUGUUUUCCCCCUUCCCGCGCCCACAUCGUGCCCCGUAUCCGCAACGCCAUCAUCAUCCACUUGCCUUGCCGGCGCCGCCAAUCCCCCCAGGGCUCUGGGCGUCUUGCUGCGAGAGCGCAGGGACUGCCGGGUGGGCUCACGGCCUGUUGUGUAUUGAUCCUCGAUCGCAAGACCUGCUCCAUAAUUAUGGUGUUGGCUGUGGUGCUGGUGGUUGCCAGGCAACUGCCCCUCUGCAUACGGCGAUAAGGCCCUCACGCGCAGCUGCACAAGGACGGGAAGGGAGGAGGGUGGCUUUGGGGUAAAGGUGAGGGGCAGGUUGGGGAGGGGUGUGACAAGUGCCGUGUAGUGAAAGAGGCUGCGACACGGGAAGAUGUCGAAACUCCAAUGAGUACUUGGGCAGGCAGAGCGCGCCAGGAAACGGACGGAACAUUUGCGUGCGUGUGUGCACGUGUGUAUAUGUGUGUUUUCAUAAUGACCAACACCAUUGCCGCCGACCAAGGCAUGUACGUUAAUUCCAUAUGUAUACAUACAUCAGGGCGUGAGGGAAUGAGAGAGAAGGGUGAGGUCGCGUUCGUCCGUGCAGCUCCCUCUCCAUUACCCACGUCCCAACGGGGCAGCCAGCCAGCCAGCCACCCACCCACCCACACGAUCGUCCCCUUAUUCACCGCGCUAGCACGUCCCGCCUCGCUGUCCUCCCGGCCGCCGCAGCUCUCCCACUGCUC
Molecule: long non-coding RNA, 728 nt
Filed under: Volvox carteri
Lineage: Eukaryota; Viridiplantae; Chlorophyta; Chlorophyceae; Chlamydomonadales; Volvocaceae
Description: long non-coding RNA (VCAR_LNC002833)
Source: RNAcentral